Molecule: RNA transcript, 1614 nt
Organism: Andrographis paniculata
Lineage: Eukaryota; Viridiplantae; Streptophyta; Magnoliopsida; Lamiales; Acanthaceae
Gene name: glucan endo-1,3-beta-glucosidase 14-like
Exons: 4
Source: RefSeq, a predicted model, not a curated record
CUCUCUCUCUAGAUAUAUAUACAUACAUAUAUAUAUAUGUACGUGGAAAUAAACUAUUGGAAAAUGCAUAACAAAAAUCCUUUCUCUGCAUACAGUGAAUGAGUAUGUAUAGCAUAGGGAAUUGAAUUCCAAAUAAAGCAACCAAAGCAGCCUCCAUAGCUCUCUGAGAGAGCUUACUGACGGGACGGCAUCAAUUCCUUUUGCCAUGGCCACGCUUUUCCGGCUUCUUCCUCUUCUUCUUCUCUUUUCAGAUUGUUUUCCGACGACCGGAGCCGUCGGCGUGGGGAUAAACUACGGCCAAAUCGCGAACAACCUGCCGUCGCCGCCGCGCGUGGCGUACCUCCUAAGCUUACUCAACAUAACGCGCGUCAAGCUCUACGAUGCCGAUCCAAACGUCCUGUCGGCGUUCGCCAACACCGGCGUCGAAUUCACCAUCGGCCUCGGCAACGAGCACUUGCAGGCGGUUACCGAUCCAAGCCAAGCCAGAUCAUGGAUCGAGCAGCACGUGCAUCCGUACAUCUCUCAGACGAAGAUCACGUGCAUCGCCGUCGGCAACGAGGUCCUCACCGGAAACGACACGCAGCUAAUGUCGUACCUCCUGCCGGCGAUGCAAUCCGUUAACGACGCCCUUUUAAACUCCGGCCAACAGAUAUCGGUGACGACGGCGCACUCCUAUGGAAUCCUAUCGACAUCAUUCCCGCCGUCUUCCGGCGCAUUCCAACAGAAUCUCGCCGAAUACAUCCGGCCAAUCCUUGAGUUCCACCGCCGGACGGGGUCGCCGUUCACAAUCAACGCCUACCCGUUCUUCGCCUACAAGGACAAUCCCGACGGGGUGUCGUUGAGCUACGCCUUGUUCCAGCCGAGCUCCGGGAUGAUCGAUCCGUCGACGAAUCUGCGUUACGACAACAUGUUGUACGCGCAAGUCGACGCCGUUUACUCCGCGAUCAAAGCGGCUGGAUUCGACGAUAUCCGCGUCCAAGUGUCGGAGACGGGAUGGCCUUCGAAGGGCGAUCCCGACGAGGCGGGCGCGACGCCGGAGAACGCAAAACUCUACAACGGGAACUUGGUGCGACGGAUACAACAAAAUCAAGGGACUCCCGCAAAACCGUCGGUGCCUAUCGACAUCUACGUUUUCGCGCUUUUUAACGAGAAUCAAAAGUUCGGACCCGCCUCCGAGAGGAAUUACGGAUUGUACUAUCCGAACGGGACGCCCGUUUACAAUAUCGGGUUGGAAAGCUAUAGCAUUCCUCAUAUGGACUAUUCGGCUUCUAAAUCGACCGUAAGAUGUUUCGUCGACAAGCGGACGGUUGUGGCGUCUAUAUUGAUAUAUGUAUACAUAUAUACAUUCCAUUGUAGGUAAGAAUUCAUCGAUUUGAAGAACGGGGACAAGAGUCGAGGAAACUUUUCCUAUUUAUGGAAAGAUAUUCGGGAGGUGAAGCUGCUGCCAUUGGCACACACACACACUUGUUAUUUACAUACAUACAUAUGUAUUUAUUUAUUUUACAUAUUAAUUAUAGUCUUGGAAUUGCAUUUCAUUUUUAUUGAGUGACAAAAAACAAAAGAACAAGUUGGAAAUAAAUCAUCGAGCUUGUAUUACUCCUUCCGAUCCCGAAA